UCUUAUCAAGAGUGGAGGAGGGACCUAGACCGAGGAACCCCAGCAACCGGUUGAAAAAUACGGUGCUACUUCCAGCAGAAUGAUGUCCAUUUUGAGAGAUAAGA
RNAcentral lists this non-coding RNA (104 nucleotides) under Massilibacterium senegalense. Its description in RNAcentral is "SAM riboswitch (S box leader)". It matches the Rfam family "SAM riboswitch aptamer (S box leader)". Rfam says of the family: The SAM riboswitch is found upstream of a number of genes which code for proteins involved in methionine or cysteine biosynthesis in Gram-positive bacteria. The record is from RNAcentral. Lineage: Bacteria; Bacillati; Bacillota; Bacilli; Caryophanales; Bacillaceae.